GUUCUGGCUUGCCACCAGACUUCCACUGGCUGAGAGAGGUAAUAGUGCCUUGUUACUAUUCCCCACUUUGCUUCUACUAGUAGCACUAGAAGAAGAGUAGACGCUUUAUACUUGGCAGUGGUAAAAGUCCUGUCCACUAGAAUCCCUUGAACACCACCCCAGUGAGGAGAAGACGGGAUACUUUAUUACUUCCGGUGGGAAGAAGUGCAGAUUCCCUGCAUGGUCUCUACUGAAACGAGUGUGGAACAGUAUGGUCUUUGGAGUCUGAAAGGACAGGUAAAAUUCCAGCUGCUCUCUUUAAUGCCAUUUUUGGUCCACACAGAGAAAAGGCCAUGUGAGGACACAGCUAGAAGGCAGCCAUCUGAGAGCCAAGCAGACAGGUCUCAUCAGAUGCCAGCCCUGCCAGCACCUUUAUCUUGGACUUCCACUCUCCUAAGUUGUCAGAAAAUAAAUUUAUGUUGUUUAAGCCAACAUUCUAUUCCAUUUACUCUGUUAUAGCAACCUGAGCAGUCAUACCCUCUCUCUCCUCCUUAUUCCACUUAGCAUCCAUAGUGAGUAAUAAUAAUCAUUUAAUGGUAACUCUUCAACUUCCUUGCCCCUUGCAUCCUUCAUUUUACUUGAUGGGUCAACUUUAUCUUUCCACAUGACCCACUUAAUCUAUCUUUCCACCUGUUGCUUACCUACAAAAUGAACAUGGCUAGAGAAGAAGUCACACACCAUGCUGACUUUCAAUUCAUGAACAUAAAUAUCAAGUGAGCUCAUGGAGUCACCCAAAAUUUGAGUUUCCUUCGAUCAUUCAUUCUUCUACUCCUUUUAAUAUUAUAUAUCUUUCUGAUUAAAACUCAAGCAUCUCCCCUUCACUUUCCAUAUCUGCUGAUGCUUUUGCUUUCUAAACUACUAAGUGAUCAGAAUCAAAUAGAAAAGGGUCUUCAUAGGCCCAGUGCGGUGGCUCACGCCUGUAAUGCCAGCACUUCAGAAAGCUGAGGCGGGCAGAUCAUGAGGUCAGGAGAUCGAGAGCAUCCUGGCUAACAGGUUGAAACCCUGUAUCUACUAAAAAUACAAAAAAUUAGCCAGGCGUGGUGGCGGGUGCCUGUAGUCCCAGCUACUCAGGAGGCUGAGGCAGGAGAAUGGCAUGAACCUGGGAGGUGGAGCUUGCAGUGAGCUGAGAUCGCCCCACUGCCCUCCAGCCUGGGCGACAGAGCAAGACUCCGUCUCAAAAAAAAAAAAAAAAAAUAGGGUCUUCAUAAGCUUCCAUCAUUACUUGCACUCAUUUAACAUAUUCUGUUCUGUACCAACAAAUGCUGCCUUCCUCUUGAAACUAUAAACUGUUCAUGUAGUUCACUAAGAUGCUUAAUUUCAUCUUCUCUCACACACUCAGGACACCUCCUUAACAACUCUCUUAUUUUCAACAUUAUCCACUCUAUCCUGUGCUACUCCCCUCAGCACACACCUAUGCUGUUAUUACCUCCUUCUCAAAAAAUUUCUCUGGACUUUACUUACACCUCCAGCUACGAUCUAAUUUUUAUGUAAUCUAUGAAUAAUUUCGUAGUAAUAUAUAUAAUUCACAUAUACUUAGAAAAAUACCUAGAAAAUCAUUUGACUAAACUUUGAAAAGUAGCCAUCUCAGAGUAAUGGAUUAUCAUAUAAUCUAUUUCUCAAUCAUACUUUCUGUAAGCCUUGAUAACUGCCAUGCAUACAUAUUCAGUUAUGAGUGCACAUAAUUAUAUAACUAUAUAAAAUAUGAAUCAGAUAAUUCAAUAAUUAAAUAGAAUUAUUGCAUAUAAUUAAAAUGCAAAAUAAAGAUAAAAGUACGACCAUGUUUGUGGCAUUGUAGAUGGCACAUCUGCCUUGAAAAGCAAUGUGGCAAUCUCUAGCAGAAUUACAAGUGUACAUUCCUAGAAAUCCAACAAUUUCAUUUUUUAAAAUACACUUCAGAGGAAAAAGGAUACCUAUGUAAGGAUUUACAUGGGAGAAAUAAUUGUAAUCAUGGACAAUUUGAAAUAACCUAAAUAUGUGAGUAGAAUGCUUAAAAUGUUGGUAUUGGUUCCAGAUCCACAUAGGAGAUAUUGAAAAUAAUGUUAUAUAAAAAUAGAAAGAGAGGAUAAUACAUAGAACACGUUGCUGUGCAGUGUUUAAGAACACAUAUAAGAUAAUCUUAUAGUAAAUAGGAUGGAAGGAUUCUCAUAAAAGUCAGAUAGUUGUUGCCCCUGGAGAGUUUGAAUAGGAAUAUUACUGAGGGUAUUCAUCAAAGGGGACUUAGCUAAAUCUCUAAAGUUUUAUUUUAUUUUUGAAAGAAAAUGAGAAGCAAAUAAGACAAGAUAUUAGCAGUAGAUAUUCUAGGUGAUGAAAACAUGUUUAUAUUGUAUCUAAAAGUAUAUGUGUGUAUAUAUCCCUGUGUAUGUGUGUGUGUGUGUGUGUGUGUGUGUGUAUCCAUUUCUAUAAUUUAAAUUCUUUUAAAGGAAAAAGAAUUUUAAAAAGAGGAAGAAAAACAGAUACACUAAGGUGAAAGUACAUGGUCCAUAGAAAUUUGACUGCUAAUAAUCUUGACAGAUCUCAUUUACAGAUGCAGAGAUGAGAAUUCUUUCCAUUUAAUGGCUUUGCAACAUUACAUAUUAUUUCUUAAAAGAUAUGUGCAGGAAGGAUUAUUUUUAUGCAAUUAAGAUGGUGAAAAAUUAAGGUGCUGACAACUCCAAGAAUAAGAACUAUUCUGUGGGGAAGAAGGCUGAGCAAAAUGUUCAGAGAGAAGCUUCUAGUGAUCAUUCCCCACACUUCAGGAACACCACAUUGAGCAAUUGUCUAUUCAAAAAAGCACCUUUAUAAGUUCCAAAAACCAGGUGAGAAAUCACAGUACCUGGUUUUAAUAUUACAUCAAGGAAAGAAGCACUGCAGAGGACAGAAAAGACAGUCUUGAAUUGACAAUAUUUUUCAUGUGGAGUUGAAUUUAGUUUGACAGUAUUUUGUUGAGGAUUUUUACAUUUAUGUUCAUCAGUGAUUGCAUCUCCUAUUUUAAGUGAUACAAAUGGUUACGGAUUGUGUUCUUAAUUACACAGCUUUAUUUGGUUUUGAAUGUUCACAUCAAUCUUUGUUACUAGAAGUCCAGUAACUUCAUAAAUGUUACUACACACAAUUUGUGAUUUUCCCUGUCUAAACACUUUAGUAACACACAUCUUAUGAUUCCAAGCAGUAAUCUUGUCUUAAAGUGUUUACUUGCCUUCUUAUUUCUCAAAAACAAGCUAGAAACAGCUGCCUGUAGCAUAAUUCAAUUAACCAAAAUGCAGAAAUAAUCAGCCUUAUUCACAGCAAAAGUGAACCUUUAUGGAGCCCUGCCUUGAAAAAAAUCUGACUGUAAUCUAUACAACCAAGACCUGCAUAUUAUAAGCAGUGAAGAUCUAUGAGAUUAGGGGGGAAUAUGUUUUUCAACUGUCUUGUUUUUAAGGAUGCAUGUAAAUUUAGCAUAUUUAUUUAUCUGAACACUUAAUCAAAAGAUAUAAGAAAUGUAUCUUGGAGAAUAUUUGGAAUAUUAGAAAACAUGUGGACACAGAUUUUUAGCUUUCUUUCUAUACUCAAAUAUGGUCUGCUAAUAUGAUGAUGUCAACAUGAUUAGAAGUAUUGCUGGUAAAUAAUUGUUAAACUGCACUCUUUACAAGAUGCUGAAGAUUGCUUUUCUGAUAUUUUUUGUCUAAUUCCAUGCCAAGGAUUAUUAUACGCACAAACAUAAUUAAUAUAUAAAUACCUCAUGCACCCUGACAAUGUGUGCUACAGAUAACCAGCAAUACUGGCUCUUAACACUUGCGAUCUCACUAAAACAAAGUGGAAAGCUAACUUUAUACAGUAAACCUAUAUAUACUAUAAUAAAACUUUAUUCAAUCC
RNAcentral lists this long non-coding RNA (3870 nucleotides) under Homo sapiens (human). RNAcentral describes it as "HSALNT0109042". Lineage: Eukaryota; Metazoa; Chordata; Mammalia; Primates; Hominidae. The record is from RNAcentral.